GGGGUGUCGUGCGCCGGUGGCACCACCAUGUCCUAUGUCCCCUUCCGAGAUGUGCGUGGAGCCCCCCUGGCCCGCGGGCCCUACGCCCCCUCCCCUUACGAGCGGCCCCCUGGAACCCCCGGUUCUGCAUCAUCUCCGGCAAUCAGCUGCUGAUGCUCGAUGAGGAGGAGAUUCAUCCCCUGCUCAUCCGGGACCGGCGGAGCGAACCGUGCCGGAGCAAACUGCUGCGGCGAACCGUCAGCGUGCCGGUGGAGGGACGCCCCCACCCCGAGCACGGUAAAUUCCCUUUAUUUCUGCCUCUAGAAACCCUUAAAAAAUCAUAAAAAUAUAAAGGGUUAUUUUUUACCCCUCCUCGCCGCGGUUUGGGUGGGAAAAGUGGGGAAAAAUGAGGUGAAAAUUCGGAUUUUUGGGGGUUUUUUCCCCUUAAAAUCCUUAAAAAAAAUGAAGAUUCCCAACCCCCACCGUGUGGGAAGCCAUGGCGACAUCCCAUAAUGCUCCCCGGGGGGGAGGGGGAGGCGCUGGGGUUGCCGUGGGGA
Long non-coding RNA from Myiozetetes cayanensis, 536 nucleotides. RefSeq lists it as uncharacterized. The record is from RefSeq and is a predicted model, not a curated record. The transcript has 3 exons. NCBI's taxonomy places the organism in Eukaryota, Metazoa, Chordata, Aves, Passeriformes, Tyrannidae.